Pteronotus mesoamericanus is the source of this 127-nucleotide small nucleolar RNA. Lineage: Eukaryota; Metazoa; Chordata; Mammalia; Chiroptera; Mormoopidae. The record is from RefSeq and is a predicted model, not a curated record.
GUGCACAUUUCAUUGACCUGCUUUCUCGUAUACGUAAGCAGUGUUAUUUCUUAUAUGCUAUACAAAUAAUUGAAGGCUAAUUAGCCGUAAAACUAUAAGUAAUGCUGCCAGUCUCCUUCUCACAAUU